GCGGCGGACGGGUGAGUAACGCGUGGCUAACCUACCCUCUUGACGGGCACAACCACCCGAAAGGGCGGCUAAUUCCCGAUAUUGACUGGAACCGAUGGGUUCCUUUCCAAAGGCGGUCCUGCCGCCGCAAGAGGAUGGGGCUGCGUCCUAUUAGCUAGUUGGUGAGGUAACGGCCCACCAAGGCUUCGAUGGGUAGCUGGUCUGAGAGGACGGCCAGCCACAUUGGGACUGAGACACGGCCCAGACUCCUACGGGAGGCAGCAGUGGGGAAUCUUGGCCAAUGGACGAAAGUCUGAGCCAGCGACACCGCGUGGGGGAUGAAGGCCUUCGGGUUGUAAACCUCUUUUCUGGGGAAAGAAUAAGGACGGGAGGAAAUGCCCGCCCGAUGACGGUACUCCAGGAAUAAGCAUCGGCUAACUCUGUGCCAGCAGCCGCGGUAAGACAGAGGAUGCAAGCGUUAUCCGGAAUUACUGGGCGUAAAGGGCGUCUAGGCGGUUCGGUAAGUCGUUUGUGAAAUCCCUCGGCUCAACCGAGGAGAGUCUUGCGAUACUGCCGGGCUUGGGUGCAGGAGAGGAGGGUGGAACUCACAGAGUAGCGGUGGAAUGCGUAGAUACUGUGAGGUACCCCGAUGCGAAGGCAACCCUCUGGCCUGCUACCGACGCUGAAGCGCGAAAGCGUGGGGAGCAAAGGGGAUUGGAUACCCCCGUAGUCCACGCCCUAAACAAUGUUCACUUGGUGUCGGCCGCUUAUACUGGUCGGUGCCGAAGCUAACGCGUUAAGUGAACCGCCUGAGGAGUACGGCCGCAAGGCUAAAACUCGAGAGAAUUGACGGGUCCCUGCACAAGCGGUGGAGCACGUGGUUUAAUUCGAUGAUAAACGAAGAACCUCACCCAGGCUUGACAUACUAGUGGUAGGAACCUGAAAGGGGGACGACUCUGCCUUCGGGUAGAGAGCUAGUACAGGUGAUGCAUGGCUGUCGUCAGCUCGUGUCGUGGGAUGUUGGGUUCAGUCCCGAAACGAGCGCAACCCUUGUCGUUAGUUGCCAGCGGGUAAUGCCGGGGACUCUAACGAGACUGCUGGUGAAUAGCCGGAGGAAGGCGGGGAUGACGUCAAGUCAUCAUGUCCCUUACGCCUGGGGCGACACACAUGCUACAAUGGGGGGUACAGAGGGUCGCAAUCCCGUAAGGGGGAGCCAAUCCAUAAAAGCCCCUCCCAGUUCGGAUUGAGGUCUGCAACUCGACCUCAUGAAGCCGGAAUCGCUAGUAAUCGCGGGUCAGCCAUACCGCGGUGAAUAUGUACUCAGGGAUUGUACACACCGCCCGUCACACCAACCGAGUGGGGGGUACCUGAAGUCGCUCUUCUAAGAGCGCCUAGGGUAACUUCCGCAAGAGG
Molecule: ribosomal RNA, 1392 nt
Filed under: metagenome
Description: bacterial SSU rRNA
Rfam family: Bacterial small subunit ribosomal RNA
Source: RNAcentral